RNAcentral lists this ribosomal RNA (252 nucleotides) under uncultured bacterium. RNAcentral describes it as "partial 16S ribosomal RNA". It matches the Rfam family "Bacterial small subunit ribosomal RNA", at positions 524 to 775 of the family's 1533-position model. The record is from RNAcentral.
UACGUAGGGUGCGAGCGUUAAUCGGAAUUACUGGGCGUAAAGCGUGCGCAGGCGGUUUUGCAAGCCGGAUGUGAAAUCCCCGGGCUCAACCUGGGAAUGGCAUUCGGGACUGCAAGGCUGGAGUGCGGCAGAGGAGACUGGAAUUCCUGGUGUAGCAGUGAAAUGCGUAGAUAUCAGGAGGAAUACCGAUGGCGAAGGCAGGUCUCUGGGCUGACACUGACGCUCAUGCACGAAAGCGUGGGGAGCAACAGG